RNAcentral lists this ribosomal RNA (429 nucleotides) under uncultured bacterium. RNAcentral describes it as "bacterial SSU rRNA". It matches the Rfam family "Bacterial small subunit ribosomal RNA", at positions 917 to 1349 of the family's 1533-position model. The record is from RNAcentral.
GGGCCCGCACAAGCGGUGGAGCAUGUGGUUUAAUUCGAUGAUACGCGAGGAACCUUACCAGGGCUUAAAUGUAGUCUGACAGGGGUGGAAACACCUCCUCCUUCGGGCAGAUUACAAGGUGCUGCAUGGUUGUCGUCAGCUCGUGCCGUGAGGUGUCAGGUUAAGUCCUAUAACGAGCGCAACCCCUGCCGUUAGUUGCCAGCAUGUAAUGAUGGGAACUCUAACGGGACUGCCGGUGCAAACCGCGAGGAAGGUGGGGAUGACGUCAAAUCAUCACGGCCCUUACGUCCUGGGCUACACACGUGCUACAAUGGCCGGUACAGAGGGCAGCCACACCGCAAGGUGGAGCGAAUCCUUAAAACCGGUCUCAGUUCAGAUCGUAGGCUGCAACUCGCCUACGUGAAGGCGGAAUCGCUAGUAAUCGCAGGU